GAGAGUGGCGAACGGGUGAGUAAUAUAUCGGAACGUGCCCAGUCGUGGGGGAUAACGUAGAGAAAUUUACGCUAAUACCGCAUACGAUCUAAGGAUGAAAGCGGGGGACUCGCAAGAGCCUCGCGCGAUUGGAGCGGCUGAUAUCAGAUUAGGUUGUUGGUGAGGUAAAAGCUCACCAAGCCGACGAUCUGUAGCUGGUUUGAGAGAACGACCAGCCACACUGGGACUGAGACACGGCCCAGACUCCUACGGGAGGCAGCAGUGGGGAAUUUUGGACAAUGGGCGAAAGCCUGAUCCAGCAAUGCCGCGUGUGGGAAGAAGGCCUUCGGGUUGUAAACCACUUUUGUACGGAACGAAACGGUCUGCCUUAAUACGGUGGGCUAAUGACGGUACCGUAAGAAUAAGCACCGGCUAACUACGUGCCAGCAGCCGCGGUAAUACGUAGGGUGCGAGCGUUAAUCGGAAUUACUGGGCGUAAAGCGUGCGCAGGC
Molecule: ribosomal RNA, 491 nt
Filed under: uncultured Polaromonas sp.
Lineage: Bacteria; Pseudomonadati; Pseudomonadota; Betaproteobacteria; Burkholderiales; Comamonadaceae
Description: bacterial SSU rRNA
Rfam family: Bacterial small subunit ribosomal RNA
Source: RNAcentral